RNAcentral lists this ribosomal RNA (1278 nucleotides) under uncultured bacterium. RNAcentral's name for it is "partial 16S ribosomal RNA". It matches the Rfam family "Bacterial small subunit ribosomal RNA", at positions 63 to 1341 of the family's 1533-position model. The record is from RNAcentral.
CGAACGGAGCACCCCUGAAGGAGUUUUCGGACAACUGAAGGGAAUGCUUAGUGGCGGACGGGUGAGUAACGCGUGAGUAACCUGCCUUGGAGUGGGGAAUAACAGUUGGAAGCAGCUGCUAAUACCGCAUGAUGUAGUUGAGUCGCAUGGCUCUGACUGCCAAAGAUUUAUCGCUCUGAGAUGGACUCGCGUCUGAUUAGCUAGUUGGCGGGGUAACGGCCCACCAAGGCGACGAUCAGUAGCCGGACUGAGAGGUUGGCCGGCCACAUUGGGACUGAGACACGGCCCAGACUCCUACGGGAGGCAGCAGUGGGGAAUAUUGGGCAAUGGGCGCAAGCCUGACCCAGCAACGCCGCGUGAAGGAAGAAGGCUUUCGGGUUGUAAACUUCUUUUCUCAGGGACGAAGAAAGUGACGGUACCUGAGGAAUAAGCCACGGCUAACUACGUGCCAGCAGCCGCGGUAAUACGUAGGUGGCAAGCGUUAUCCGGAUUUACUGGGUGUAAAGGGCGUGUAGGCGGGAGUGCAAGUCAGAUGUGAAAACCACGGGCUCAACCUGUGGCCUGCAUUUGAAACUGUACUUCUUGAGUACUGGAGAGGCAGACGGAAUUCCUAGUGUAGCGGUGAAAUGCGUAGAUAUUAGGAGGAACACCAGUGGCGAAAGCGGUCCGCUGGACACCAACUGACGCUGAGGCGCCGAAAGCGUGGGGAGCAAACAGGAUUAGAUACCCUGGUAGUCCACGCUGUAAACGAUGGAUACUAGGUGUGGGGGGACUGACCCCCUCCGUGCCGCAGUUAACACAAUAAGUAUCCCACCUGGGGAGUACGAUCGCAAGGUUGAAACUCAAAGGAAUUGACGGGGGCCCGCACAAGCGGUGGAGUAUGUGGUUUAAUUCGAGGCAACGCGAAGAACCUUACCAGGGCUUGACAUCCCGAGGCCAGACCUAGAGAUAGGCCCUUCUCUUCGGAGACCUCGGUGACAGGUGGUGCAUGGUUGUCGUCAGCUCGUGUCGUGAGAUGUUGGGUUAAGUCCCGCAACGAGCGCAACCCUUAUUGUUAGUUGCUACGCAAGAGCACUCUAGCGAGACUGCCGUUGACAAAACGGAGGAAGGUGGGGACGACGUCAAAUCAUCAUGCCCCUUAUGUCCUGGGCCACACACGUACUACAAUGGUGGUCAACAGAGGGAAGCAAAACCGCGAGGUGGAGCAAAUCCCUAAAAGCCAUCCCAGUUCGGAUCGCAGGCUGCAACCCGCCUGCGUGAAGUUGGAAUCGCUAGUAA